GUCGUGAGACAGUUCGGUCCCUAUCCUCCGCAGGCGCAAGGGAUUUGAGGAGACCCGCCCCCAGUACGAGAGGACCGGGGCGGACGGACCUCCGGUGGCCCGGUUGUCGACCAACGGCACUGCCGGCUAGCCGCGUCCGGCGCGGAUAACCGCUGAAGGCAUCUAAGCGGGAAGCCGCCUCCGAGAUGAGAUCCCUCUCUGGUAAGGGCCCUGGUAGACCACCAGGUUGAUAGGGCGCAGGUGCAAGCGGGGCGACCCGUUCAGCCGAGCGCUACUAAUCGCCCGAGCUCUUCCUAUU
Molecule: ribosomal RNA, 298 nt
Filed under: Eggerthellaceae bacterium
Lineage: Bacteria; Bacillati; Actinomycetota; Coriobacteriia; Eggerthellales; Eggerthellaceae
Description: partial 23S ribosomal RNA
Rfam family: Bacterial large subunit ribosomal RNA
Source: RNAcentral